CGAAGCAACAUAAUCAUAAGAAAAUAAAAAGUCGCAGAAAGAAAAAAAAGACAAACAAGGAUAAAGUUCUACUAGUCAAUUUCUUCCCAUCCAAAUAUAUUUUCCAGAGAACACCAUUUUAGAAGCUGUCUAAUUCCUAAUCCAUCAUACUCAACGCAUGAAGUAAAAGUACAACUGAUUAAUACACCCUUACGUUAUU
This 199-nucleotide long non-coding RNA is filed under the name Trifolium pratense (red clover). RNAcentral's name for it is "long non-coding RNA (TPRA_LNC003598)". Lineage: Eukaryota; Viridiplantae; Streptophyta; Magnoliopsida; Fabales; Fabaceae. The record is from RNAcentral.